This 583-nucleotide long non-coding RNA is filed under the name Monodon monoceros (narwhal). Its description in RNAcentral is "lncRNA (ENSMMNG00015009106.1)". The record is from RNAcentral. Lineage: Eukaryota; Metazoa; Chordata; Mammalia; Artiodactyla; Monodontidae.
CUGCGAACGCGACUGCACCAUCCUUCUUGCUCGGCUCCGGAAGGCGCCCCGGAAGCCAUAGAGGUGCUGGUCCUGGCCGGAUACAGCGCGCAGAAAAAGGACGAGCUGAGCCUGGCGCACGGGGACGUGGUCCGGCAGGUGUGCAAUGGGCCCGCACGGGGCUGGCUGCGUGGAGAGCUGGGGGGCCGUUGUGGCCUCUUCCCCGAGUGCCUGGUGCAGGAGAUCCCUGAGACUCUCCGCGGCUCGGGGGAGGCGCCGAGACCGCGCUGUGCGCGCCGCCGAGGUGAGAGCCAGGGCGGUGGGCGAGCGCGCGCAGCUCCCCCCCACCCCCACCCCAGGUCUUCCCAGCUCGCCGAGACGGGCGCGGCUCUGGGCGGGACUGCGUGGCCUCUGUGCGUCCCGUGAUUGGUUCUCGAGUACAAUGCUCCGCCCUGGGGCGGGGCCUGGAGGUACAAGGGGGCGCUCGCGGCCCGCCCCUGCCCCCCUCAGAGGACUGGGGCUCGAGGCUCCAGAGACCUCCCUCUCGUCAGACCCCAGGUCACCCAGGUCGAAUCUCCGGGCCACCGAAGAUAGUGCAAAGUGA